CAGUAGCCGCGGUAAUACAGAGGGUGCAAGCGUUAAUCGGAAUUACUGGGCGUAAAGCGCGCGUAGGUGGUUUGUUAAGUUGGAUGUGAAAUCCCCGGGUUCAACCUGGGAACUGCAUCCAAAACUGGCAAGCUAGAGUAUGGUAGAGGGUGGUGGAAUUUCCUGUGUAGCGGUGAAAUGCGUAGAUAUAGGAAGGAACACCAGUGGCGAAGGCGACCACCUGGACUGAUACUGACACUGAGGUGCGAAAGCGUGGGGAGCAAACAGGAUUAGAUACCCGCGUAGUCCCUGUCUCUUAUAC
This 301-nucleotide ribosomal RNA is filed under the name uncultured bacterium. RNAcentral describes it as "partial 16S ribosomal RNA". It matches the Rfam family "Bacterial small subunit ribosomal RNA", at positions 509 to 807 of the family's 1533-position model. The record is from RNAcentral.